This 477-nucleotide small RNA is filed under the name Malus domestica (apple). Its description in RNAcentral is "sRNA MD09G0183900". The record is from RNAcentral. Lineage: Eukaryota; Viridiplantae; Streptophyta; Magnoliopsida; Rosales; Rosaceae.
UUUUAUCUCUCUACUUUCUUUUUAUUUCACAACUCUCUCUCUCUUCUCUCAGACCCCAUUGCUCUCUAAAAUGAAAAAGAGCUCUCCUUCUUUCACAUUUUUCUCUCAUUUCCUUACUCCUCCUCACCCUUAGCCGCGCAACCACACACACUUUCCUCUGCAAAAAUCCGAACACAGCCUUACCACAGAGGUUCUCGAUCUGGAAGUUUAGCCAUGACAAAGAAAACGCAAACCAGCUACAACCUUGCAGAUCUGGUUCCUGCAAAAGAUCUGUGACAGACCCGAGAAAGAACUCUCAAACUGAAAAUCCACUGGACAUAAAGCAUGGCCCAUCAUGAAGGUUUUGAUCUUUCGACUAUGAAGGAAAUGUGGUCACUGAUAGAUCCGUGGGAAAUAAAGUGGACGGCGAGACCUCAGCUGCAAUAGACAAAAACGGGACAAGCUUCUAAGAACCCAGAUCGGUGAAUCUGGGAGGUA